GACGUAGGGUGCGAGCGUUGUCCGGAGUUAUUGGGCGUAAAGGGCGCGUAGGCGGCCUGGCGCGUCGCACGUGAAAUCCCCGGGCUCAACCCGGGAACUGCGUCCGAUACUGGAAGGCUUGAAUCCGGGAGAGGGAUGCGGAAUUCCAGGUGUAGCGGUGAAAUGCGUAGAUAUCUGGAGGAACACCGGUGGCGAAGGCGGCAUCCUGGACCGGCAUUGACGCUGAGGCGCGAAAGCCAGGGGGGCAAACGGG
This 253-nucleotide ribosomal RNA is filed under the name uncultured bacterium. RNAcentral's name for it is "partial 16S ribosomal RNA". It matches the Rfam family "Bacterial small subunit ribosomal RNA", at positions 524 to 776 of the family's 1533-position model. The record is from RNAcentral.